AACAGGAUUAGAUACCCUGGUAGUCCACGCCCUAAACGAUGUCAACUGGUUGUUGGACGGCUUGCUGUUCAGUAACGAAGCUAACGCGUGAAGUUGACCGCCUGGGGAGUACGGCCGCAAGGUUGAAGCUCAAAGGAAUUGACGGGGACCCGCACAAGCGGUGGAUGAUGUGGUUUAAUUCGAUGCAACGCGAAAAACCUUACCUACCCUUGACAUGUCUAGGAGUUUCCAGAGAUGGGAAUGUGCUCGAAAGAGAACUAGAACACAGGUGCUGCAUGGCCGUCGUCAGCUCGUGUCGUGAGAUGUUGGGUUAAGUCCCGCAACGAGCGCAACCCUUAUCAUUAGUUGCUACGCAGGGGCACUCUAAUGAGACUGCCGGUGACAAACCGGAGGAAGGUGGGGAUGACGUCAGGUCAUCAUGGCCCUUAUGGGUAGGGCUACACACGUCAUACAAUGGUCGGUACAGAGGGCUGCCAACCCGCGAGGGGGAGCUAAUCUCAGAAAACCGAUCGUAGUCCGGAUCGCAGUCUGCAACUCGACUGCGUGAAGUCGGAAUCGCUAGUAAUCGCGGAUCAGCUUGCCGCGGUGAAUACGUUCCCGGGUCUUGUACACACCGCCCGUCACACCAUGGGAGCGGGUUCUGCCAGAAGUAGUUAGCCUAACCGCAAGGGGGGCGAUUACCACGGCAGGGUUCGUGACUGGGGUGAAGUCGUAACAAGGUAACC
RNAcentral lists this ribosomal RNA (725 nucleotides) under uncultured bacterium. RNAcentral's name for it is "bacterial SSU rRNA". It matches the Rfam family "Bacterial small subunit ribosomal RNA", at positions 771 to 1501 of the family's 1533-position model. The record is from RNAcentral.